GGCGCACGGGUGCGUAACGCGUAUGCAACCUACCUUUUACUGGGAGAUAGCCCGGAGAAAUCUGGAUUAAUACCCCAUAGUACCAGAUUGUCGAAUGACGAUUUGGUUAAAGAUUUAUCGGUAAGAGAUGGGCAUGCGUCUGAUUAGCUAGUUGGCGGGGUAACGGCUCACCUAGGCCACGAUGAGUAGGGGUUCUGAGAGGAAGGCCCCCCACACUGGCACUGAGAUACGGGCCAGACUCCUACGGGAGGCAGCAGUAGGGAAUAUUGGGCAAUGGUCACAAGACUGACCCUGCCAUGCCGCGUGCAGGAAGACGGCCCUUGGGUUGUAAACUGCUUUUAUCUGGGAAGAAAAAGUCCAUGCGUGGAAAAUUGCCGGUACCAGAUGAAUAAGCACCGGCUAACUCCGUGCCAGCAGCCGCGGUAAUACGGAGGGUGCAAGCGUUGUCCGGAUUUAUUGGGUUUAAAGGUUGCGUAGGCGGCUGAUUAAGUCGGCGGUGAAAGACUUCGGCUUAACCGGACCAGUGCCGUUGAUACUGUUUAGCUUGAUUGUUGGAGGGGUACAUGGAAUUGAUGGUGUAGCGGUGAAAUGCAUAGAUACCAUCAGGAACACCGAUAGCGAAGGCAUUGUACUGUCCAACAACUGACGCUGACGCACGAAAGUGUGACGAUCGAACAGGAUUAUAUACCCUGUUAGUCCACACCGUAAACGAUGAUUACUCGCUGUUAUGGUGUAUGCUGUAGCGUCCAAGCCAAAGCGUUAUUUAAUCCACCUGGGGAGUACGCCGGCAACUGUGAACUCAUAGGAAUUGACGGGAGUCCCACAAG
This 827-nucleotide ribosomal RNA is filed under the name uncultured bacterium. RNAcentral describes it as "bacterial SSU rRNA". It matches the Rfam family "Bacterial small subunit ribosomal RNA", at positions 97 to 929 of the family's 1533-position model. The record is from RNAcentral.